RNAcentral lists this ribosomal RNA (253 nucleotides) under uncultured bacterium. RNAcentral describes it as "partial 16S ribosomal RNA". It matches the Rfam family "Bacterial small subunit ribosomal RNA", at positions 524 to 776 of the family's 1533-position model. The record is from RNAcentral.
UACGAAGGGGGCUAGCGUUGCUCGGAAUCACUGGGCGUAAAGGGUGCGUAGGCGGGUCUUUAAGUCAGGGGUGAAAUCCUGGAGCUCAACUCCAGAACUGCCUUUGAUACUGAAGAUCUUGAGUUCGGGAGAGGUGAGUGGAACUGCGAGUGUAGAGGUGAAAUUCGUAGAUAUUCGCAAGAACACCCAUGGCGAAGGCAGCUCUCUGGGACGGUACUGACGCUGAGACGCGAAAGCGUGGGGAGCGAACAGG